Molecule: ribosomal RNA, 404 nt
Filed under: Actinomycetes bacterium
Lineage: Bacteria; Bacillati; Actinomycetota; Actinomycetes
Description: Actinobacteria bacterium partial 16S ribosomal RNA
Rfam family: Bacterial small subunit ribosomal RNA
Source: RNAcentral
UGGGGAAUAUUGGACAAUGGGCGCAAGCCUGAUCCAGCCAUGCCGCGUGAGUGAUGAAGGCACUAGGGUUGUAAAGCUCUUUCACCGGUGAAGAUAAUGACGGUAACCGGAGAAGAAGCCCCGGCUAACUUCGUGCCAGCAGCCGCGGUAAUACGAAGGGGGCUAGCGUUGUUCGGAUUUACUGGGCGUAAAGCGCACGUAGGCGGACUUUUAAGUCAGGGGUGAAAUCCCGGGGCUCAACCCCGGAACUGCCUUUGAUACUGGAAGUCUUGAGUAUGGUAGAGGUGAGUGGAAUUCCGAGUGUAGAGGUGAAAUUCGUAGAUAUUCGGAGGAACACCAGUGGCGAAGGCGGCUCACUGGACCAUUACUGACGCUGAGGUGCGAAAGAGUGGGGAGCAAACAGG